UGGGCUUAAAUAUUAAAAGAAAUAUUAUUAUUAGAGAAAAUCAUUAUUAGAUAUUGUAGAUUUUAAAAAGAUUUGGUGGUUAAUGAUAUUUUAAAAAGUAGUUAAAAGAGAAUAAGAGAAGAAAUUUUAGUGGUUUUAGAUAUAAACUGAGAGAUUUUAUUAAAACUAAAAAGAUAGAGAUAGAAUAGAAGAGAAGAGGAUAAAAAGGAUAAGAGUA
This 217-nucleotide long non-coding RNA is filed under the name Vigna radiata. Its description in RNAcentral is "long non-coding RNA (VRAD_LNC012498)". Lineage: Eukaryota; Viridiplantae; Streptophyta; Magnoliopsida; Fabales; Fabaceae. The record is from RNAcentral.